Gadus macrocephalus (Pacific cod) is the source of this 784-nucleotide long non-coding RNA. RefSeq lists it as uncharacterized. The record is from RefSeq and is a predicted model, not a curated record. NCBI's taxonomy places the organism in Eukaryota, Metazoa, Chordata, Actinopteri, Gadiformes, Gadidae. The transcript is spliced from 2 exons.
UCUUCAGUACACUGCUGAGUCAAUACAACGGUUCAUUGUUUUAAAAUAACCAAUAACCCACACAGUGAACCAAAUCAAGGAACUUAUGUUCUGCCCGUACAUAGACAUGGACUUAAAAUGAACUAUGAGUGCAUGUGUGUGUUUCAUAUAUGUGUAUGCAUGUGAUGCAUGUUUCAGGUGAAUUUUGUGUGUGUCGUGUGAAUUGUGUGUUUGAGGAGAAUUGUGUACAUGUUUGUGUCACGUGAAUUGUGUGUGUCACGUAAAGUGUGCGUGUGUCAUGUGAAGUGUGUGUUUCAUAUAUGCGUGUGUGUGUCAUGUGAAGUGUGUAUGUGUUUGUGUGUGUGUCAUGUGGAUUUUGGGUGUGUGUCAUGUGAUUAGUGUGUGUGUGUGCCAUGUGAAUUGUGUGUUUGUGUGUGUGUCAUGUGAAUUUUGUGUGUGUGUGUUGUGUAUGUGUUUGUGUGUGUGUCAUGUGGAUUUUGGGUGUGUGUCAUGUGAUUAGUGUGUGUGUGUGCCAUGUGAAUUGUGUGUUUGUGUGUGUGUCAUGUGAAUUUUGUGUGUGUGUGUGUCAUGUGAAGUGUGUGUGUUUGUUGUGCCCGUGUCAAGUAAAUUAUGUGUGCUUGGGUGUGUCAUGUGAAUAGUGUAUAUGUGUGUGUCAUGUGAAAUGUGUGUAUGUGUCAUGUGAAGUGUGUGCGUUUGUGUCAUGUGAAUCUGGUGUGUGUGUGUCAUUUAAAUUUUGUGUGUGUGUCAUGUGAACGGUGUAUGUGUGUGUCAAGAGAAGUGUGUG